Molecule: ribosomal RNA, 1328 nt
Filed under: metagenome
Description: bacterial LSU rRNA
Rfam family: Bacterial large subunit ribosomal RNA
Source: RNAcentral
AAAAAGAGUAGGGAAGCUGUUAAGCAAGCCGUCAAGAAAAGCUGCUAUUGUUUCAUUAUGGCCCGUACCGUAAACCGACACAGGUGGAUGGGGAGAGAAUCCUAAGGCCGGCGGAAUAAGUAUUGUUAAGGAACUCGGCAAAAUGACCCCGUAACUUCGGGAGAAGGGGUGCCUGCGAGAGCAGGCCGCAGAGAAGAGGCCCAAGCAACUGUUUAGCAAAAACACAGGUCUAUGCAAAACCGAAAGGUGAGGUAUAUGGGCUGACGCCUGCCCGGUGCUGGAAGGUUAAGGGGAGUGGUCAGGAAACGAAGCCACGAACUUAAGCCCCAGUAAACGGCGGCCGUAACGAUAACGGUCCUAAGGUAGCGAAAUUCCUUGUCGGGUAAGUUCCGACCCGCACGAAAGGCGUAAUGAUUUGGGCGCUGUCUCGACAAUACAUCCGGUGAAAUUGAAGUGCCAGUGAAGAUGCUGGCUACCUGCGCCAGGACGGAAAGACCCCAUGGAGCUUUACUCCAGCUUGAUACUGGGACCCGGUAUUGCAUGUACAGGAUAGGUGGGAGGCUAGGAAAUGUGGACGCCAGUCUGCAUGGAGCCGCUGUUGGGAUACCACCCUUGUGGUGCUGGGUUUCUAACCAGAGGCCGUGAACCGGUCUGGGGACAAUGUCAGGUGGGGAGUUUGACUGGGGCGGUCGCCUCCGAAAGGGUAUCGGAGGCGCCCAAAGGUUCCCUCAGAAUGGUUGGAAACCAUUCGAAGAGUGCAAAGGCAGAAGGGAGCUUGACUGCGACACCGACGGGUGGAGCAGGUACGAAAGUAGGGCUUAGUGAUCCGGUGGAAUUUAAGUGGGAAUGCCAUCGCUCAACGAAUAAAAGCUACCCUGGGGAUAACAGGCUGAUCACUCCCAAGAGUUCACAUCGACGGAGUGGUUUGGCACCUCGAUGUCGGCUCAUCGCAUCCUGGGGCUGAAGUCGGUCCCAAGGGUUGGGCUGUUCGCCCAUUAAAGCGGUACGCGAGCUGGGUUCAGAACGUCGUGAGACAGUUCGGUCCCUAUCCGGCGUGGGCGUAGGAUAUCUGAGAGGAGCUGUCCUUAGUACGAGAGGACCGGGAUGGACUGACCUCUGGUGUACCGGUUGGCGAUCAACGCCACGGCCGGGUAGCCAUGUCGGGACGGGAUAAACGCUGAAGGCAUCUAAGCGUGAAGCCCCCCUCAAGAUGGGAUAUCCCAUCGUAAGAGUAAGACCCCUUGAAGACGACGAGGUUGAUAGGGCAGGGGUGGAAGUGCCGUAAGGCAUGGAGCUGACUGCUACUAAUCGGUCGAGGGCUUGACCAA